UAAAAUAUAUGAUAUUUUCUUCAUCUCAAUCUGUAUUUACAAAAGUGAGUAAUAAAAUAGAUGUUUUAAUAAAUCAAGCAAAAGAAUUGAACCAAGAACUUGAAACAUUAUCCCAAAACACUGUGGAUCUUCUUGGACAACCCUCUGGUAAGUACGACUAUAAAGUCUACUAUUCACCUCCGCCAUCUACUAAUAUUCCUGUUGAAUCCAUCAAGCCUACUGGUUGGGAAGAUAGCACUG
Molecule: unclassified non-coding RNA, 240 nt
Filed under: Hevea brasiliensis (rubber tree)
Lineage: Eukaryota; Viridiplantae; Streptophyta; Magnoliopsida; Malpighiales; Euphorbiaceae
Source: RNAcentral